CAGAGGGUGCGAGCGUUAACCGGAAUUACUGGGCGUAAAGCGUGCGUAGACGGUUAUUUAAGUCGGGUGUGAAAGCCCCGGGCUCAACCUGGGAAUUGCAUUCGAGACUGAAUAGCUAGGGUACGGUAGAGGGAAGUGGAAUUUCCGGUGUAGCGGUGAAAUGCGUAGAUAUCGGAAGGAACAUCAGUGGCGAAAGCGACUUCCUGGACCAGUACCGACGUUCAGGCACGAAAGCGUGGGGAGCAAACAGGAUUAGAUACCCUGGUAGUCCACGCCAUAAACGAUGAGGACUAGACGUUGGAGGGGUAAGCCUUUCAGUGUCGUAGCUAACGCGCUAAGUCCUCCGCCUGGGGAGUACGGCCGCAAGGUUG
RNAcentral lists this ribosomal RNA (371 nucleotides) under uncultured organism. RNAcentral's name for it is "bacterial SSU rRNA". It matches the Rfam family "Bacterial small subunit ribosomal RNA", at positions 526 to 896 of the family's 1533-position model. The record is from RNAcentral.